UACGUAGGGUGCGAGCGUUAAUCGGAAUUACUGGGCGUAAAGCGUGCGUAGGCGGAUAUUUAAGUCAGGGGUGAAAUCCCAGAGCUCAACUCUGGAACUGCCUUUGAUACUGGGUAUCUUGAGUAUGGAAGAGGUAAGUGGAAUUGCGAGUGUAGAGGUGAAAUUCGUAGAUAUUCGCAGGAACACCAGUGGCGAAGGCGGCUUACUGGUCCAUAACUGACGCUGAGGUGCGAAAGCGUGGGGAGCAAACAGG
RNAcentral lists this ribosomal RNA (253 nucleotides) under uncultured bacterium. Its description in RNAcentral is "partial 16S ribosomal RNA". It matches the Rfam family "Bacterial small subunit ribosomal RNA", at positions 524 to 776 of the family's 1533-position model. The record is from RNAcentral.